This 23-nucleotide small RNA is filed under the name Arabidopsis thaliana (thale cress). RNAcentral's name for it is "Ath_wt_11594". The record is from RNAcentral. Lineage: Eukaryota; Viridiplantae; Streptophyta; Magnoliopsida; Brassicales; Brassicaceae.
AUAUAAAGAUUUAAGAAACUAGA